This 6912-nucleotide long non-coding RNA is filed under the name Sus scrofa (pig). RNAcentral's name for it is "lncRNA (ENSSSCG00040017464.1)". The record is from RNAcentral. Lineage: Eukaryota; Metazoa; Chordata; Mammalia; Artiodactyla; Suidae.
GAAGCGGAGAGCGCGGCGUGAAGGUCACCCUGCUGAGAGUAAGUUUCUCCUUUAUAGUGUAACUCUGUGAUGUGCCGUCCCUCUAACCCCAUCCUUUGGGUGUGGGGGUCACGACGGCCCUAAAAUCCCAGCACCCGGCCCUCCGUCCCAAGUUAGUCAAUACGUCGCCGUUAUAGGUCGGGUUUGUUUUCCUUAGAGUUCGAAAUCGCUCUGUGCCUGAUCCUGGAGCCCCCGGCUUUUCUGCCUUUAGUACACGUAGACGCAGCCUUUGGCGGCGUUUUCCUGCUUAGAUUCCUUUCCUGCCUCCGCCCCGCCAUGUAAAGUGCUCUUCCCCGAGGAGGACCCGCGCCCCCACCUCGCUCCCCCAACUGGAGGCAGCGCCGGCCGCCCCGCUCCCGGAGAGGCCGCGUCCUCGCCCCGGUGCUGGGAUUCGGGAGCCCCCCUCUCCUGAGACCACCCUCCCUGCAGCCCCUCUGUCCUCGCGGCCCCUCCGGCCGGUCCUUCUGCCCCGCAGGCCUCACGUGUGUAGUCAGCCCUUCCCCGCACCCGGCGUAGGGGGAGGUGACCUCGUCCACCGUGUGACACCCAGCGUUCUUCCGUCUCAAAGUCCACCGGAUGAAAUAUGUUCUCUUCCGGUUGGCGGGCAUCUUAUUUAGUCUCCAUCCCUGUAAAUACUUGUGUGAGGGGCAUGAGGAGAGGCAGAGACAUGGGAAUGACAUUGUGGCGCAUCGGUGUCAGGACCCACAGCAGCGGUUCGCGUCGCUGCUGUGGUUCUGGUUCCAUCCCUGGCCAGGGAACUUCAACCUGCCGUGGGCGCCCCCCCCGCCCAAAAAAAAGAUGAGCCAAACACAGAAAAGUUGAGGAGAAAAUAAUAAGAUAGGACGGAUGGACACGUAGAGGAUGGCUAAGGGAUUUAUAAGGCAGCAAAUGAAAUACAGUAGGCCUUGAAAUUAGCAGGUGCGUGUACUCCAGAAGUAAUAAAAAGCCGGAUCUUCAGGGGUUGGAAAGCAACACUGGGAGAGUGUAGCAGUGCAGUGAUGGGAGGGGUGGCGGCUGUGUUGAGGCACUUAGCAGGGAGAGCGGCGGAGGUGGAGGGUAAUAAACAGUGGGAACUACAGGAAAUUCAGAGUCUCCUUGUUCUGGGAGAGAAACAGAUGACAACUUGUGACUAGCAGAGGAAGAGACAGAGCAGGAAGGAAGCAGAGCCACUUGGGGUGCCAGGGAGUGGGGGAGGGAGUGUAACAGGGACAGAAGGGGUGGGUGGUGUAACCCUGGGGACAGAGAGAGUGUAGAGUUGUGUGAAGGGGGCAGAACUAUAUGGAUAUUUAAGACAAUUAGAAAGGCUGGGGGAAGAACAAGUGGGGAGUCUACUUGCAGAGUAGGGCAGGAUGGAUGAGAGAUAAGAAACAGGAGGCCAGGGAGUUCUCCUCCUGGCUCAGCAGAAACGAAUCUGACUAGAAUCCAUGCCAGCGCAGGUUCGACCCCUGGCCUCCCUAGGUGGGUUAAGGAUCCGGCAUUGCCGUGAGCUGUGGUCUCUGUAGUCUGUGUAGGUCACAGACGUGGCUGGGAUCUGGUGUUGUUGCGGCUGUGGUGUAGACCAGCGGCUACAGCUCCAAUUCAACCUCCAUGUGCCUCGGAUGUGGCCCUAAAAAGACAAAAAAGAAAGAGAAGAAAUAGGAGGCCAGGAGUUUCCAUCGUGGCUCAGUGGUUAACAAACCCCUGACUAGGAUCCAUGAGGACAUGGAUUCCAUCCCUGGCCUUGCUCAGUGGGUUAAGGAUCUGACGUUGCCAUGAGCUGUGGUGUAGGUCACAGACGCGCCUCGGAUCCUGCGUUACUGUGUCUGGUGUAGGCUGGCAGCUACAGUUCUGAUUCCACCCCUAGCCUGGGACCCUCCAUAUGCCGCAGGUGCAGCCCUAAAAAAAAAAAAAGAAGAAGAAGAAAGAAAUAGGUUGCUGGCAGGCGCACCAUGAGAAUAGUAGGGCGCAGUGGCUUGGGUCACUGAAGAGGUGUGGGUUUGAUCCACAGCCCAGGGCACAUUGGUCUUGCUGUGGCUCCAGUUCCCAGUUUCCAGGCCCUGGGAACUUCCACAUGCCAUGUUUUGGGCCAUAAAAUAAAAAAAAACGGGAGUUCCUGUUUUAGCUCAGGGAGUUCCUCUUGUAGCUCAGUGGGUUAGGGAACACAACUAAUAUCCAUGAGGAUGUGGGUUCAAUCCCUGGCCUCGCCCACUGGGUUAAGAAUUUAGCAUUGCCAUGAGCUGUGGUGUAGGUCGAAGAUGUGGCUGCAAUCCAUGUUGCUACGGCUGAGGUGUAGUCUGGCAGCUGCAGUUCCAGUUGAAUCCCUAGCCUGGAAACUUGCAUAUGCUACAGGUUCAGCCCUAAGAAGCAGACAAACAAACCACAAAAAGCCGGCAACAACAAAACAAAAACAAAAAGAAGGAGAUAUAGGGAAAGAAAGAGGGAGAUAAAUAAUGAAAUGGGAACACCUGGUAGUGCAGGUAGAGAGGGGAAACUGGAUCAAGAUGGAGGGUGAGUUGUUUGGAUGUGGAUGCUUAAAGUGUGAUACAUGAUUUGUAGCUUUAGAAUGUAGUAAAUUUAAAAUUCAGGAGUUCUGGAGUUCCCGUUGUGGCUCAUCGAGUUAAGAACACGACAUAGAGUCCGUGACGAUGUGGGUUUAAUCCCUGGCCUCACUCAGUGGGUUAAGGAUCACUGCCUUAAGCUCCCGCAUGUAGGUGGCAGAUGCGGCUCAGAUCCAGCAUUGCUGUGGCACAGGCUGGCCAUUGUAGUUCUCUUUUGACCCUUGGCCUGGGAACUUCCAUGAUGCCGAGGUGUGGCCAUAAAAAAAAGAAAAAGUAGAAAAGAAAAAAAUUGCAGUUCCAGCUGUGGUGCCAUGGAUUGGCAGCAUCUUGGGAGCCCUGAGACUUGGCAGGCAUAGUGGGUUAAGGAUCCAACAUUUCGGCAGCUGCAUCUUGGGUCUCCACUGCAUGCAGCUCGGAUCUGAUCCCUGGCUCCAGAAUUCCAUAUGCUGCAGGACAGCCAAAAAUGGAAGAAAAAAAAUUCGCAUUAUUUCCUUUUAUUGAUUCAGAUUUAUUUGACAUUUGAGUGCUUUCCUCUCUUUAUCUGAUAUCUUGGAGAAGUUCCUUAGUAACUGGUAAAGAAUUUUAGAGUAUUUUGAUGAGUGCUUGGUAAAGAUGUCAGUCCAACAACCCACUUUAACCAGCUAGUCUAAUACUAGAGUUUUCCCUGUCACGUGAUCUGUGAACAGAGCGAGCUAUGCGAUGGUGACGUGAGGUUGGUUCCCUUUGCUGAAAGGUCCUUGUGCCUUUUAGCCGUGUUUGCCCAUGGGUACGUGGAGGAGAGAUAGAUGGACAGAGAAGUGGGGAGGGCAGCCUGCAGCAGAAGGGAUGUGGAGGCAAGCGUGCGCCUCUGGACGGCCAGUAAAGGGCGUGUGCACUUGUCCCUUUAUGGCUCAAGGGAUGCGUGGGACUGUUUGCAUGCGACGUAUCCCUUCUGGCGGGAGCACCUGGUAUUGGGGUUAUGGCUUCUGGGGUUCAUUGCAUGGUUGGAGGUUCCUUAGUGUGUUAGCUCAGGGUGCCUGGAACAUAGCUGCUGAGUCUUAGGUUUACCAGUAUCAGUUUCAUGAUCAUCUAUGAGGCGGAAUGAAGGUAGUGUGUUUAGGCUGAGAAGACAUUGUUAGACGUGUGGCCUGAGCGGAGCCCUCAGGGAUCACUGGGGGCAGAAGGAUGGCAGCCUUGUCCUCAGGCAGUGGAGGUAGAGGGUGCCCCACAGCUUGCACUCCGCAAGUGUCUUGUGUUGGUUUUUUUUUUUUUUUUUUUUUUUUUUUUUUUUUUUUUUUUUUUUUUUUGUAGAUCAGGAAUUAUUGUGCAGAGAAAUUGCUUUGGGAAAGAUCUCCAGUGUUCUCCUUAAUUGCUGCAAGUAAUAAAAUGCUUCCUGCUCCAGAAAAAAGAAAACAAAUAGAAAUCAUUGUGCAGUUUUUAGAGGAAUAGAGGGAAAAAUCGCAAAGAUCAUUUUGUGGGCUACCUUUGAUACUUUUUAGUAUUUUGUGCUGCAAAUGAAAAACAUUUCUGACACAGAAUGAAAGAUGCGAAAGGCAGUUUGGAGUGUUGUGGGUCUCACUGGGGCGUCACCAUGGAAACUCUAUAAUACAUAGUGUUUGGGGGAGUUCCCCUUGUGGCUUAGUAGAAACGAACCCAGCUAGUAUCCAUGAGGAUGCUGGUUUGAUCCCUGGCCCCGCUCAGUGGGUUAAGGAUCCAGCAUUGACAAAAGCUGAGGUGUAGGUUGCAGAUGUAGUUCCGAUCUGGUGUGGCUGUGGCUGUGGUGUAGGCUGGCAGCUGUAACUCCAGUUCCACCCCUAGCCUGGGAACUUGCAUAUGCCGGACCUGCAGCCCUAAAAAUAUCUAUAUGUAGUUUUUGGAGAUGGCAUUGUUUGGUAUAUUUAGGUAAACAUUUGCAACAUGUACAUCUAAUUACAUUGUGCAGACUGUAUUUAUUCAUACUGUGUUUCUGUGUACUUGGUAUUUUCUUUGAAACACUUAAGUGUUCUCAGCACACAGAAAUAAAAAAGGAGCAGGAGUUCCCGUUGUGGCACAGCGGAAACGAAUCCACCUAGGAACCAUGAGGUUGUGGGUUUGAUCCCUGGCUUCGCUCAGUGGGUUAAGGAUCCCGUGUUGUCAUGAGCUGUGGUGUAGGUCAGACACAGCUCAGAUCCCGAAUUGCUGUGCCUGUGGUGUAGGCUGGCAGCUGUAGCUCCGAUUGGACCCCUAGCCUGGGAAACUUCAUAAGCCUCAGUCAGGUGUGACCUUAAAAAGCUAAUCAAUCAGUCAAUCAAUCAAUAAAAAUAAAAUAGUGAAUUGAUGGAAGUGUAAAGUACUGUAUUGUGAUUAUCACACAGCUUAUCAACUGCCAAAGAAUCACACUGAAUGUCUCAUAUACACACCAUUAUUAUUUAUCAAUUAUACCUCAGUUAACCUGGAAAGGAAAGUGGGAGGUGUGCAAAGCCUGCCUCCUUUGAGUGCUGCUUAACCCAGACUUCACUUUAGAUCCAUGAGGUGUUUUGCAUGUACAUGUUCUGUGCCCUCUGACCAGGGAUUCCCCUUCAUGCAGUCAUGUGGGAUCCAACAUCAAUAUUUAAGGUGCCCCAGGUGAUUCCAAUCCGGAUCCAUCCUUGAGCAGCAACGCUCCGCGUCCUUCCAAUCCUGGGGGCUGGUAUCUGGGCUGAGGGCGAGGGGGCUCUGCUCUGCACGGGGGAUGGAGCAGGGCUGGUCUGUGGCCUGCAGGGGGUUGUGGGGUCCAGCUGAGGUGCCCAAGGUUGAGUGUAAGUGAGGGCCUCACCAGGAGGGGAGCUUAAUCAGAAGGAAAGUUGUUGGAAAACUCUCCUGUUGGUCUCCGUGGGAGUUUCUUGUCCUGAGUGCCUCCUGGGACAGCGGACCCCAGAGGCCUGUCUCUUCCACAUGGUGCGGUCUCCCCUGUGCAUGUGGUUGUGGCACAAGAACGCUGCCAAGACCAGCUCAGCAGGUUGGGGCUGAAGAACAGGUGCUGUGAAACUUCAGGAAAAAAAGUUAACAUAAAACAAGACACAGAGACAUUUAUCUUGAGUAAAGGUGGGAACCGGGGAACUCAAGGUCUCAGGGACUAAGAGCCCCACCUCAAGAAACCACACUGCUUUUUUGUGCUCUUGAGGAUGACGUCAAGUGAGGAGGGGGCUUUGGGUGCAGGAUAUAGGUUUUUUUAAGUUAUUUUAAAAGUCACAGAGCCGGUUGCUGAUUAAGCUUUUAUUCUGACCUUUAGGCUUUUAACAGUCAUUAGCAUUGAGGAAGCUUGGCGUCGGCUCUCUAGGCAUAGCAUUCUGGAGAAUCACCCUUGUGCUUCUGCAGACAGCGGCGUGCCUAUCUGCGGCAACCUGGCUGGCAUGCCUAGGUUUGCACCUCGGUUCUCCUUGCUCAUGCAUCUCCUGCUAACGACCCUCAUAAACCCCUCGGGGCCAUGAGGUUCAUCUUCCUCUUAUUCUUUAGAGGACAUAGCAUGCUGUGCACACGGCAGGCCUGGACCAAGGCAUUCUGUCCUCAUUCAGCUGACCCCAUGCAUGGCUUAUGCCUUUAGGUCUUUGUGCUUAUGCUUAAGUCAUUUACCGGCACUGUGACUGUUUUCCAAGCAGGAAGAUGGGGUGAAGGAAAGCAGGACAAGAUGCAGUUUUCAGCAUAGAAACCAGAAGCAAAGAGGCUAAGAAAAGAUUGCGGAAACCUGUCUCACGGCAGAACGCAGUAUGUUGAGUCUAAGCAUUAAGCAGCAUCUUUUUAACUUUCAAGUUUGAUUUCUAAAGACGCAUGUUGCCUGAGCAAGAAGCCCGGCGGGGGAGGAGGAGGAAGAGGAAGGAAGACCAGGAGUCAGGAAUGGCUGUUUCUCAGGUAAAGUUAAUUCCUCAGGGAUUCUCCGUCUGUCCUUCCUGAGAUGCCCUCCUUUGGCCUCACUCAUCUUGUCAGACCCUGUCCCUUCCCAGUCACCCGGGGCCUCCCCUCAGGGCCUGUCCCCUCCACUUAUGACCCAGUGACCUGGAGCUUGUGAAGAGGCCCCCUUGGGCAUCGUCCUGGGCUUCACACCCGUGGACUGGAGACAUAGCGUCGGGCAGGGAUUGGGCCCCAUCUGGAUGCACAGUCUGCGGUCACCCAGGAUCAAGAAGCUGCACUCCAAAGUCAGGAGUUUUUGAAUCCGACCAGGAACCGUGAGAUUACAGGUUCAAUCCCUGGCCUCGGUCAGUGGAUAAAGGGUCUGGUGUUGCCGUGAGCUGUGGUGUAAGUUGCAGGCACAGCUUGGAUCUGAUAUUGCUGUGGUGGUGGUGUAGGCUGUAGCUCCAAUUGGACCCCUAGCCUGGGAACCUCCAUGUGCUGCAGGUACGGC